Pteropus alecto (black flying fox) is the source of this 3852-nucleotide RNA transcript. RefSeq lists it as uncharacterized. NCBI's taxonomy places the organism in Eukaryota, Metazoa, Chordata, Mammalia, Chiroptera, Pteropodidae. The transcript has 2 exons. The record is from RefSeq and is a predicted model, not a curated record.
CAUCUGAGGUGCAGCUGAGGCGGUGAUACUAGUGCUGGGGAGCAGCCGCAAAUACAGGUAUGAGAAAGUGCCAGUCAUCUUGGUUGGGAACAAAGUGGACCUGGAAAGUGAGAGGGAAGUGUCAUCCAAUGAAGGCAGAGCCCUUGCUGAAGAGUGGGGCUGCCCCUUUAUGGAGACUUCUGCUAAAAGUAAAACCAUGGUGGACGAACUCUUUGCAGAAAUUGUGAGGCAAAUGAACUAUGCUGCGCAGCCUGACAAAGAUGACCCAUGCUGUUCUGCAUGUAACAUACAAUAGCAUUCAAAAAUGGCUAUCCUGGACAGGAUUUGACCAAUAUCAUAGGUGAUACAAACCUCGUCUACUCGACUGCGGAGUUUGCAGGAUGUGUGGUGUGAAUCUACAGUGAAAUAGCAGCCCUUAUUCAGAAUUCAGCAGUGAUUGUCAGUUGAUAUCUCUGAGUAACAUUUGGGUUCAGUAACUACAGUUUUCACCAUUGUCCUCAGUCUCCUAUGUGCACCUGCGACUUUAAGGCAUAGCCAAUCGAUCUACAGGGUGAUCUCCUUUGAAAGCUGUAGUGGCAUUGUAGCUGAGUUGACAGAAGCAACUCUUGUAUAAAUUACAAAUAACCACGAGAGCGAAACCAGAACAAUUCCUAUGACCACUUACAAUUAAAAUAUUUUGUCUUCUUUAAAAAAAAAUAGGUAACUGAGAAAUAUUUUCCUACGAGAAUACUGAAUUUCAGGAGUUAAGAUAGUGCUUCUAACCAAUGUGUUCCAUCGAGUAAGAUAAUAAUGGCUGACCUGCCAACAGCAUUACAGGGAGAGAUUCUUUGCUCAGCUGACACAUUUCUGUUUUUCAAAAUUGAUGCUUAAUUGUAGAUGUUAUCCUAAUUUGUGACAUGGAACUAACUCAUGCAGCAGUCCUUAAUAGAGCAAAAGUCAGAUCAGGUUGUGUAGAAAUACAGUCUGGCUUUGGAAUGUGUUAAAUCACCUGCUUUGUCACAAAAUGGAGGCUCUCACAAGGGUUUGAUCUGAAUUAAAACCCCAUACCCACCCUCUGUUAACCAAGCAGGUGUGGUCUUUAUUACUUUACUGAACAAAAAGGAAGCAACACUGAUGCAAAGAGAUUGCCCAGCCUUACUAACAAGACAUGUUCUAGUAGAUUAACCAGUACCAUCAUGUAAGGAAAAUGAAGCCAUGUUGCAUCCACAUGUUCCCGUUUGCAGAAACCUCAUAGGACAGUACAAAUAUCUUGCAUUUUGAUGUUCAUUAAAGCAACAAAUUCCUUCUUGCCUUUAAGGGCUAUGGUUGUGGUGUGAUUCUUGGUUAACCUGCUUUCAAAAUCAAGUUUUCUGUAGUGGAGCUUUAUUGCAGGCAUUUUUUAAAAAAUUGAAUAACCAUGUGAUAUAAUUUGGGCUUUAAAGUAGAAUAUAAAUCAUAGAAUGGAAGGUAAGGGACAAAAAGAAACCUUUUAUCUUUAAUUUUCCUGGAGAAUUAUAUAAAGAUUUUCUUAUAACAAUUUUUCCCUGAUUACUGAAGUGGCAAAUAAAACUAGAGAAUAUUUUGUUUUGAAAAGGUGCUCACGCUCUGAUAUUUUUGGUCUUUAUAGCCGUGAAGUAGUUAUUAUUUGCAUGAGUAAUGGCACAGGAAAAACCUAUUCAUAAGUUUUACAAUCAGGCGUAGAAGGGUUUUUAACUAACUUCAGAGUUAUAACUGCUUAAGAGAGAGUAUCUUGAGCAGGUCCUCUGGAGAUAAAUUUGGCCUUCAGAACUGUAGUAUCACUGAGCCUGUGAUCUACACACCGCCCCACACUUUGUUGGUUUCACACUCUUGUGCAAAUAACUUCUGGUCUUAUGUGUGUAACUGAGAAGAGUGUAUGUGCACAUGUGUGUUUAUUGUUCCUAAGAAUUUGGCACAAGUUGGAGAUAAUUGCCUACACUGAGAAUCUGUACUGAAGAAUAUAGUGUAUCAAGAACAUCUUUUUCUUUUAAAUUAUUUAAAUGUUUAUUUUACAUUAUUGAAAUCAUUGGUAGCCACCACCACCCCCCCCCACCCCAAGUGUUUAGUAAACUGGCAUUAAGCUUAGAGGAUAGAAAAAAGGCAGAUAGUAACUUUUCAUAGAUGAGAAAACUGAAAUGUGGGUGAAAGCAAGCCAUGGUUGUCACAAGUCUUCGAAUUGUGAAUAUUUGCAUUCUUCAGUAUAGGUUGUUUAUACACCCUAAUGAUGCAGCACCUUGUUUAUAGGACAAAAAGUUCUAACCAAUUUUAUUGAAACAAAUUUCAUUAUGUAAAAAUUGAUUUGAUUCAACAUGUAGAGAAAUCAAAGAUUCAAGAAGAAUGAUUUCUCUAUUGAAACAGAAAUAUUUGUUAGUGAAUUGGUUGAGUUUUGAAGCCUCUAACUUCUCAAAAUGAUUCUGUUUUUUAGAAUUUCAUAUUUAAGCAAUUUAUGACAACUAAAAUAUAUUAGAAACAUCUAUAAAGAUUCUACAGUUUCACAUUAUGGAUUGCUAUACAGACAAGAAAAAUAAUAUGAAAGGUAUGGCAAAAAUAUAAGGUGGAAAAGAUUGUCUUAAAAUUGGGGUUUUAGUUAGAAGUGUUUGUGUCAGACAAUAUAUUGGGCUUUUACUGUAAAGAUAUUAAUAACUGACUUGGCUGCUUAAUCACAGUAUUUCCACACAGCCCUACAUAUUUAGUGACAAAGCAUCAAAGAUAUCCAGAAACGGGGAAACCCUUGUGUGCUCUUACUGUUGGUAUUUCAUGUGGUAUGAAUAUAAUUCAGCUUGAAUGAAUGUGUUUGUUGAGAUGUUAAUAAAAAGCUUAAGAACAGAAAGAUUGAAUUUGUUGGCACAUGAAAUAAUAGUGGCUACAGAGAAAAGUUGGUGACCUUGUGUCGCUAUUUAUUUUAUGCCCUGAUCAGACUAGCAACUAGAUAAGUGAAAGUUUUUCUAACAUGCCUUAAAAACAUUAUGGUUUGAUCCAAAGACCCACUUUUUUUUUUUUUUUAGCUAUUAUGCUAAGGUUUUUGUUUUGUCUUAUUUUACUUUUAUACAAAGGCAGCAUUUGUUAAAGUUUUUUCUUUUACGUUGCAACUUUUGGUUCUUUUAAACUGUGAUAGUGAUGGUAACUGAUGCCUUUAAUUUUGUUCAACUUACACAAAACGAGCCAGCAUUUGAUCAAAAGUAUUACAUAAAAUCUUUCUUAAACUGUUGAAAGGUGCUUUGAUGAUUUUCUCCUUUGGUUUGUAGAAUUAGGACUGAACUUGACUCUAAUUGCUACAGUUGCCAUCAUUUUUUUGUGGUAAAACUACUGAUAAUAUUUUGCUUUUCUACAUAAAGAAAUGUUGCCUAAGGAGGUCUAUUUGUUUUCAAGAGUUGUCCGCUGGGAAUGUUGUCUAUGUAUGUAUGAAUAUGGAAAUGUUUGUUUUGUUUGUUGCUGUUUUUUUAGUUUUUGUUCUUCUCAGUAGUCUUGUGUUAGCACUGAGUAAGCUUUAAUUGUCUCCUUAGCCAAUCAAAUGAUAAAGACUAUGGGGGGGUCUAUUUUUUUUUUAAUUAACAUGUCAUUGUGCAUCUAUUAAAUCUUGAUCAGGGUUUCAAGAAUGACUGCGGUGGGUUUUGGAUACAGAUUUAUCAUUAUUGAUUUGGGGUUUCCCAGAGAUAAAUAUAGUUCACAGUUAAUUGUUGAGCUCUAAUACAACUGACCAUUUAAAAUUGAACAGCAGUUUAUUGUUUUGUAACAAUGUCAGCUGUUAAACCUUGACAUUUCAAUUAAAACACAAAUUGUAGUUAUAACUCAAUGCAAAUUCAACAGUUGUAUUUGGAGUUAAAUUAUUUUAACAAAUAAAUUUAUUUAAUGAAA